GUAGGGUCCGAGCGUUGUCCGGAAUUAUUGGGCGUAAAGGGCUCGUAGGCGGUUUGUCGCGUCGGGAGUGAAAACUCAGGGCUCAACCCUGAGCGUGCUUCCGAUACGGGCAGACCAGAGGUAUGCAGGGGAGAACGGAAUUCCUGGUGUAGCGGUGGAAUGCGCAGAUAUCAGGAGGAACACCGGAGGCGAAGGCGGUUCUCUGGGCAUGACCUGACGCUGAGGAGCGAAAGCAUGGGGAGCGAACAGGAUUAGAUACCCUGGUAGUCCAUGCCGUAAACGUUGGGCGCUAGGUGUGGGGACCUUCCAAGGUUUCCGUGCCGCAGCUAACGCAUUAAGCGCCCCGCCUGGGGAGUACGGCCGCAAGGCUA
This 371-nucleotide ribosomal RNA is filed under the name uncultured bacterium. Its description in RNAcentral is "bacterial SSU rRNA". It matches the Rfam family "Bacterial small subunit ribosomal RNA", at positions 527 to 896 of the family's 1533-position model. The record is from RNAcentral.